GAGACACCCUUCUGGGGCAAGACUUGCUUCAGUGGGGCUUUGGUGCUCACUGAGUCUGAUCCCUGAGUGUGUCCCU
Non-coding RNA from Myotis brandtii (Brandt's bat), 76 nucleotides. The record is from Rfam. NCBI's taxonomy places the organism in Eukaryota, Metazoa, Chordata, Mammalia, Chiroptera, Vespertilionidae.